RNAcentral lists this ribosomal RNA (516 nucleotides) under uncultured fungus. RNAcentral describes it as "SSU rRNA". It matches the Rfam family "Eukaryotic small subunit ribosomal RNA", at positions 209 to 726 of the family's 1831-position model. The record is from RNAcentral. Lineage: Eukaryota; Fungi.
AUUAGAUAAAAAACCAAUGCCCUCUGGGCUCCUUGGUGAUUCAUAAUAACUUAACGAAUCGCAUGGCCCUGCGCCGGCGAUGGUUCAUUCAAAUUUCUGCCCUAUCAACUUUCGAUUGUAAGAUAGAGGCUUACAAUGGUCUUAACGGGUAACGGGGAAUUAGGGUUCGACUCCGGAGAGGGAGCCUGAGAAACGGCUACCACAUCCAAGGAAGGCAGCAGGCGCGCAAAUUACCCAAUGCUAAUACAGCGAGGUAGUGACAAUAAAUACUGAUACGGGGCUCUUUCGGGUCUCGUAAUUGGAAUGAGUACAAUCUAAAUCCCUUAACGAGGAACAAUUGGAGGGCAAGUCUGGUGCCAGCAGCCGCGGUAAUUCCAGCUCCAAUAGCGUAUAUUAAAGUUGUUGCCGUUAAAAAGCUCGUAGUUGAACCUUGGACCUGGCUGAUCUGUCCUCCUAAUCGAGCGCACGGAUUCGGUCUGGUCUUUCCCUCUGGGGAGCCCUAUGCCCUUCACUGGG